AAUCGAACACCCAUAGGCGAAGACAACUCGAAGACGCAUGUCACGGGAUUACGGGUUCGGCAUUGGCGCAAGCCUACGUCGGAUCCCUCCAUCCCAGGGUGCCCCGAUACGGGUGGGAGCGGGCCUCCGGGCGUCAUUCUACCCACCGGGGAUACCCCGAUUGUGCAGGAUGCUGCCCCAAAGAUGGUGAACUAUGCCUGAGCCAGGUGACUUCAAGUUAACUUCUGAUAUGGGAGUUCAAUUGAUCUGACCCGCCCGAAGGUGGUACCAGUCCCAUUGGCUCGCGUGCAAGAUAGACUUCUUGGUCCGUGUUUCAAGACUCCG
RNAcentral lists this ribosomal RNA (324 nucleotides) under Anopheles subpictus. Its description in RNAcentral is "partial 28S ribosomal RNA". The record is from RNAcentral. Lineage: Eukaryota; Metazoa; Arthropoda; Insecta; Diptera; Culicidae.